GGAUGUGAGGGCAAUCUGGCUGCAACACCUGUCUCCCCAUUGAUUACCAGGGUUAGUUUAGCUGAUCUGAUUGGCCAGGCAGGUGACUCUUUCCUCCCUCACUGGCUCCAUGUGUGUGUCCCCCCCCGCCCCCUGAAGCUGCAUGAUUGGUGGAAGACGCUGUCCAUCCCAGAUGGAAGGGGUGUACCGUUUUUCAGUCAAGGGCAUAUAAAGUCCAAAACUAUUUCUCAUUUUAAAGACCGAAUUGAAUUCAAGGGAUAUAGGGAGGUGGUAUAUAGUCCAU
Molecule: small RNA, 283 nt
Filed under: Salvator merianae (Argentine black and white tegu)
Lineage: Eukaryota; Metazoa; Chordata; Lepidosauria; Squamata; Teiidae
Description: 7SK RNA (ENSSMRG00000006984.1)
Rfam family: 7SK RNA (bases 1-214)
About the family: 7SK was discovered as an abundant small nuclear RNA in the mid-70s but a possible function has only recently been suggested. Two independent studies have found that 7SK RNA binds the CDK9/cyclin T complex (known as elongation factor P-TEFb).
Source: RNAcentral